UACGAAGGGGGCUAGCGUUGUUCGGAUUUACUGGGCGUAAAGCGCACGUAGGCGGAUUGAUAAGUUAGAGGUGAAAUCCCAGAGCUCAACUCUGGAACUGCCUUUAAUACUGUCAAUCUCGAGUCCGGAAGAGGUGAGUGGAACUCCUAGUGUAGAGGUGGAAUUCGUAGAUAUUAGGAAGAACACCAGUGGCGAAGGCGGCUCACUGGUCCGGUACUGACGCUGAGGUGCGAAAGCGUGGGGAGCAAACAGG
RNAcentral lists this ribosomal RNA (253 nucleotides) under uncultured bacterium. Its description in RNAcentral is "partial 16S ribosomal RNA". It matches the Rfam family "Bacterial small subunit ribosomal RNA", at positions 524 to 776 of the family's 1533-position model. The record is from RNAcentral.